Molecule: ribosomal RNA, 460 nt
Filed under: uncultured bacterium
Lineage: Bacteria
Description: partial 16S ribosomal RNA
Rfam family: Bacterial small subunit ribosomal RNA
Source: RNAcentral
CCUACGGGAGGCUGCAGUGAGGAAUAUUGGUCAAUGGACGAGAGUCUGAACCAGCCAAGUAGCGUGAAGGAUGACUGCCCUAUGGGUUGUAAACUUCUUUUAUAUGGGAAUAAAACAGGGUAUGCAUACCCUCUUGUAUGUACCAUAUGAAUAAGGAUCGGCUAACUCCGUGCCAGCAGCCGCGGUAAUACGGAGGAUCCGAGCGUUAUCCGGAUUUAUUGGGUUUAAAGGGAGCGUAGGUGGAUUGUUAAGUCAGUUGUGAAAGUUUGCGGCUCAACCGUAAAAUUGCAGUUGAGACUGGCAGGCUUGAGUACAGUAGAGGUGGGCGGAAUUCGUGGUGUAGCGGUGAAAUGCUUAGAUAUCACGAAGAACUCCGAUUGCGAAGGCAGCUCACUGGACUGCAACUGACACUGAGGCUCGAAAGUGUGGGUAUCAAACAGGAUUAGAUACCCGAGUAGUC